ACAAAAUAACUAUAUCGUCAAUGGUUUGAUAACGAGUGAAAAAUGCUGCUUUGAUGUGUUGAUCGUUUUGUAUUUAAACAUAUUUGUAUAGUGUAAAUACUUUACUUAAUAAAAAAAACUUAUUCAAGUGGUUGUUUGAUACAUUCGAUCAUGGGUUACCCGUGGAUUAUGCUUUACAGUGCGCGUGAAAGGAAUCAUAAGAAAAGUAGAAUGAUGACGAGUGGUCUUGGAAUCUCUGCUGUAUGUUUGAUCUUAUGUUUGGGGAGGAUACAAGCUAACAACUACUCUGAUCCAUAUAUUUGCUAUGGGGACGUUUGUAACUCUGAAAGCCCUGCCCAGUUCUGCGAUGUAGUGUACAUGCACUGUCGGCGUUGUGACGAUAUCAGAGGCGACUGUUUCACCCGCCAUCAAACGUUCAACUGCACAGAAUAUUGUUAUGAAAUUCGAUAUAAGGAAGAGGUCGAAAAACUUCGAGUUGCAGGAUGCGAACUUCUUCCUCCUCCAAACAAUGGACACCUUAAUGAAAACAGAACACAUGUGCCAUUUAAUUAUACGUUAACAUUCACAUGCAACGAUGGUUAUGUACCUCUGUACAUAUAUCCCGUUCGAUGUGGCGAAUUCGCAAUUUGGAUUGGACCUCCACCGAAAUGUGAAAGUUCAACGACUGAGGCACUUACUGCAUUGACAAUCACUUGCGGUGUUUGUUUAGUUCUGUCUUUACUUGUUAAUAUAUUUCUUCUGCAAAGUCAAAUUCGUCGUUGGCGAAGGAAUUUGAAGAAGAAACAAAAAUCGUCUAAGGAAACUAAAAGACUAUUAAAUUCAAACAAAGGUGAUGGCAAAAUGCGCAACGGAACCGGUCCAUCUGCAGUAUGGCCCGUUCCUGCAGCCACCGCUCCACAAGAACAAGAACUUGAUGACGUUAUUUUCUUCGAUUCAGACAACACUAACUUGAGUCAACCUCCAGACACAAUCCAAAAUGGCAAUGGCAGUAGGCCCGCAGGAUGCGAUCAAACACCUAAACCAGAUGCACAAAUACGUUCCUGUAAUGGUCUCACUGGGCAUGCGGAGGAGGGAGUUGCGCACGAUGACUCUUCAUCGCGUUCAUCGAGUGAUGAGGACAUCAACAAUCCUGUCGCAAUCGGCGGAACUACUGUGGGGAACAUAAUUAAUAAUAUUACCAAUACCAAUGUCCAUCUUCAUGUAAUUUCAACGCCGACACCCACUCCAGUAGGUCCUUUGACAGCAGCAUGUCAACCACAGGAGCCGGAAAGUCCACAAACGGACAAACGACCUGUUGAAGAGACUGAUAUUUUAGGAUCACAGCCCGGUGCUCCAUCACAAACAGUCUGGGCUAUUCCUCCAGAAAAUGACGAUACUACCCUGAAAAGCACCGAAUAAAAGCUAUUGUGUUGUUUUUUUAAUCAUGUAUAACCCGAUUUAUGACUGACAAUGACAUUCUGCAAAUUUAAUCGUACGGAAUGCUAAUAAAAGUAAAAACACGUUAUAUCAAAUAUUGAAGCAUUGAAUAGUGAUAGCAAUUCAUAUAGUAUUGUAAAGUAUAAAUGUACACUCAAAACAUGUUACAACGGACACAAUCAUGUAAAGGAUUCAGCUAAAGCUGGAGUAGGACCUUUACAUGUUAUAGCACAAAGCAUUUAUCGUUAUAAUCAACUGCAUGCUGUGCAUCUAAAGCUGUAUUUUUCAUCAGUAUUACGUUUUAUGUACACCUGCUUAGUCAUGCUUAUAUUAUGUUUAUUAUGAGUGCAAUUGUGCACAAUUAUUGUAUAUAUAUCACAGUCGCGUAUGCUCAAAUAUGAUACAUGUAAUAUCUGUUAUACAAUAGUAAUAGAAAAAUAAUUAUACAUUGAAAAGGAAGGUUUGUGAACGCAUUGCGACACAUAAGUUGUAUGUGGUUGAUUGUUCGCGUUGUUCGUGACUUAAGUUAUGAUAUUGUUAUAAAAGUUGUAGAAAUAACCGCUUAAUGGAAAUAUGAUUCUAUAGUUAGUUGUCGAAUACAUUAUUCGAAUGAAUGAUUUGAAUUUUGCUAAGUAACAGUGGGAACUUUCACUUUUAUGUUGGAAUUGAAAUCUCUAAUGCCUACUAAUAAAGGAUUUUUGCGUACUUGUAGUCGGUGUCUCUAAAGGGCAACCCCAAGUCUUAGGCUAGUAUUCCAUCUAUCCGCAUCCGUAUCAGCAUCCGUAUCCGCAUCCGUAUGCGCAAAAUCAUAAUACGGACGCUAUAUUCCAUUUAUCAGCAUUAUACGUCGAACGUAUCGUUUUAUUUGGGAAAACAAAAUACAUGGAUAAAACUGAAAAUUAUAAUUGAGAUAAUUAUUAUGAAGGACAAGCAUGAUUUAAAGUAAAUAUAAGGUACAAAUCAUCAUUCUGUCCGUAAAAUAAUACAAAUGGUAAAUACCUGAAACAUCUUCUAGUGACUUGGCUAUGCUUUUCGAAACAUUUGAAGUUAAAUUAGAGUCCCGAUAUGCAGAACUGCGUAGGUUGUAUAAUUUUUGAUAAUUUUUUACGAAUUCGAUUAGUUUUUCAGUUGAUUUUUGAGAUGACAGCUUCCCUCAUCGUGCUAAAUGCAAUCCGUAUCUUGUCCGCAUCCGUAUUAGAAUGCUCACUUGAGCAUUAUUUUGUGAAUGGGCGCGUGCGAAUAUGCGGAUGCGGAUGAAUGGAAUAAGUGCAGUGAAUUUAAACUUGUUCAAUUUUUUUUGCGGAUGCGAAUAUGCGGAUGCGGAAACGGACAGAUGGCAUACUAGCCCUAGUUAUCACUUUGAUUUAGUACAAUUUAAAGCAUUCGUAAUUUAAUUUAGAAUCAUUCUGAUUCAUACAUUUUAUUUCAUCUUAUUGUGCCUCAGCCUUUGUUGUGAGAAUUGUAGAGACCAUUGGGCUACCAGUGCACGAUCUUAACACAUAAAAGUAUCGCUCUUUUUGUUUUUAAGAUAAUGUGGACAAUGUUCUGUUUCAUCACAUUUCAUUGUAAUCAACAUAAUUCAAUGAUUAGUAAAUCAUUGAAUACACAAUACAAAUAAUGCUACCACCAACACUAACUGUAUUAGAUAAGGGGUUAAUAGAAGACCGAAACGGCUGCUGCAAAUUGUCGGUUGUUCCUUUACAGUUAUUUUAAGAUUCUUUACAAUUUACUUGCAAAACAUUCAGAGUUGUUUUGUGCAUUCCUUUUAUAAAUAAUGCGUUCAUAUUGUAUUUACUGAGAAUUUUACACGCUAUUAUUUUCAUUAGUUUGUGUUCCAAUAUAUAGCCAUUUAAAGCAUACUACUAUGUGCUUUCAACACAAAUAUCCAAGUCAUGACAUGUCAAUCUUAAGAUUCCACAAGUGUGGCCAAGAAAACAAUGGUAAAUGUCUGCGUAACAUGUUCGUGAGGAUAAGUUUUACAAAAGAUCAUUAAAACGCUCCUUUAAAAGGAGUGGCGCCAUGCAUUGUAUGUUUUGUAAGGUAUUUAUUAUAAUUUCGUUUAAUUGUAAUAGAAUUUUCCCUCAUCUUCAGUAUUGUUGAAAAAGUUUUGAAAACACAAACUACUCAUAGAAGAUUGAAUUUAUAGCGCUACACCAUUUUACGAUUUAAUAGUGAUAAUGCCCAAAUGAAAUAGCUUAGUUCCGAAUACCCUUUGAAUUAAACGUUGUUUUAAUGGAAACAAUUUUAUAUACUCGAUGAUGUCAGUAAUCAACAAGUAUAAUUUUUAGUUAAUUGCUUAUAAUUAAAUACUGCAAAUAUGAUAUCAUUUCUGUUAUAAGUGUAAUGUACACAAUGAAACAACUCAUGCUUUUAUCACGCAGAGGCAUUGCAAUUCACUUUUGGAUUUAUAUCAUUCACGGGAACCCACUUCUAUAAAAUUAGACUUGAGUGAAUAUGAUCAGGUGAAUACAGGUGCAGUUAACCGGUUGGGAUCCUCGGCAUGAAUCGUGCGUGUUGUUACAGUUAUUUAUUACUGCUAUAGUUAUUUAUUAAUAGGCCAUUGGGAAUACACCUGUGGCAAAUAGUAUUAUACUUACUUUUGUUUGCUGGGUUUUCCUUAAGAUUUCUAUUUCUGUUUGGGAAAUCCGUUAAGAGCACGGAAAUACUUUCCUUGUUAAUUCCGAUUUGUAUUGCGUAACCGGGGAUACUUAACUUGGAUUAUGUUGUUUAAAUUUUCAGUUAUGUUCCGUAUAAUAACGACGGUAACAGGUUUGAUCAUAUGCGUCGCUUUCACGAUCGAUCAACCAUCUGGCAAUCAGUUUCCAAAACCCUACAGUUGCUAUGGUGACGUGUGUAAUUCGAAUUCUUCGGCAGAGUUUUGUGACGUUGUAUAUCGACUAUGCCGUCGAUGUGAGGAUGUCAAGAAUGAUUGCUUUUCCAGAAUGAUGACGUACAACUGUACAGAGUUUUGUUAUGAACGGCGAUAUUUGCUUGACACAGAACAACUUCGGGUGUCAGGAUGCAUGGUUCCCUCAGCUCCUGAACAUGGAAGUUAUGAUGUAGACACGACCCACGUAGCAUACCAAGCACCGUUAAAAGUCACGUGUGAUAAAGGAUAUAGUCUUAAAAAUGAAGAUCAGUACACAUGCAGCAAUUUCUCCGUGUGGACUGGUUGUUUUCCUGUAUGCGAAGCUUCCGAUAAUUCGGUAGUGAUACACGUUGUGUUAACGGUUAUCCUGCUGAUCGUCGUUGUCAUGUGCGGGGUCGCAGUAAUAAUGUUCAGAAGAAGAUGUAGCAGAAAAGCGGAACUUACGGGUCAGCAACAGGAGCAAGCGCAGACAUUUGUUUCAAACUGAAUGAGUGUUAAGCUACUUAUUAUUACAUACUAUAAGGUUAAUAAAUAAUACUUAACGAUA
Molecule: RNA transcript, 4832 nt
Organism: Dreissena polymorpha
Lineage: Eukaryota; Metazoa; Mollusca; Bivalvia; Myida; Dreissenidae
Exons: 13
Source: RefSeq, a predicted model, not a curated record